GGUUUCCAACCAGCUGGACGUCAGAGCCCGCCACGUGGCCUGGGGGUCUCUCCAGUGGCACUUACCGGGCGCACGCGCCCCUCCUGUCCCCGGGCCUGCUCCGUCUGGGCGGAGCUCGGCACCCCCUCGGGAGAGGCCUCCCAGCCCCCAGGGGAGCUGCUGUGAGGGCCCCUCUGGGGCGGGGACGUCCUCAGUGUGCCGUGGACCCUUCCUCCCCGGGAAUGACUCUCCUGGCGCCUAAGGACCCCCUUUUCCUCCCAGGAGCCGAGGCGCCCGGCACUUUCUGUACCUGUGACCCCGACGCCCAAGGGAUCCGGGCCACAGGGAGCUUCAAGCUCCUUUUGCCAUGAAAAAAGAAAACAACAAACAAACAAAACUUCGAGAAUGAAACUGACCCAGGACGGAGGCGCAGAGCCCGGGACGGUGUCCGUGUUCUAGGCGCACGCGGGGCCCCCGCCCGCCCGGUGGCUCUGACGACCCCGGAACGGCCAGUUUAGGAAGCGGGUUAAGAUCACGCGCCUGAAACACUUUUAAGCUUCAGAGCGGAGCAGUGUUAAUUCCGGUGUUGGCAAGAAACUGGGGGAAUUUCGCCCACACAGACACUCCCCCGCCACAAGUGCCUUCCAGUUGCCACUUCGCCCGGCGGUUGGGCUCUUUAAAAGGUCUGGCGUUGCGUCUUGGGGGAGCGGUUAACUACUGUGAGCCUUAAUGAGGGAGCAAUUUUCUCCCCCAACUUUUCAGGACCGACAGUGCGUUAUGCAGCAUGGGACCCUCUUCCAACAUUUUCAGGCUGUGAGGCUCGUCAUGGUUGUCUGUCCUGGGAAGAAGUCGGCACCGUUGGGGUUCUGACUUGUGUCCGCCGAGAUAAAGAGGAAAGGUUGCCCUAGAGAAAGUUUGUCUGAAGGAAGAGUUUCUAAGUUUCGGUGUGGCUCUCUUCGGCAUCAGUGGGCAUUUUUACUGUGUUUUACUGCUAUACAUUCCUAGAGAAAGGGUUACUCUCCAAAUUCCAUAAAAUUUGUAAAGAUCUAAAUUUAGAGUUGAGUGAAUGGAAUGAAGGAAUCGUUAUAGCUAUCAUUGGUACCGCUUAGUAAUCUUCUCUUGAAAUGUGAGGCUUGUGGGGUGUUUUACAUAUUUGCCUCAGUGGUGAAAGACCCUUUUACUGAUCAGAAAAUAACCAAUUUUACUAAUUAGGAAACCAAAUGGGACAUCAAUUUUAUCAUGCUUUUAAAGAGGAAACAAGGAGCAGCAUUGCAAACUGUCCUAGGCACCCCCUUUUCAGCCAUAUAUAUGGGGUGGGAGCACACAGUUUUCCCUGCCCCGACUACCUGGAUCUCUGAAUGGCACUACCACAGAGAGAAAUGCAGUGGUCAGGCUUUAUUUCACAAUUGGUUUAGAUGUUGGGGAUUCCUGUUGAGCCAGAUGGUUCCCUCUGAGAGAGGGACAUGGGCUGAGAGAGACUCCCUGGGCUCUGCCUGCGCCUCUGGGUAAGCAAGUCUCAGGCUUCCUUUGGUUUUUUUAAAUGGUAAAGUUUAUCUCCCUCUUUCCUAGGUAAAUACUGUUGCCAGUAAUGUUUAUGUUUAUUUUUUCCAAAUUGAUAAUGUUCCAUGCAACUGUAACGGGGAGAUUGGAAAGUUGGUGACUGCUGACUUUCUGUAAAAUGGAUUCCCAGAGUAUUGGCACUUAGUUCACUACUUAUUUUACUCCUGGCUGGAAAUUACAGGAGAUUCCCAGUGUCAGGAAGUUUGGAGAAUGUAGCUGUUUUACAGGAACUCUACCUAUUCAUCAAAGGUAGCUGGUAGGUAGCCCAAUAAAAGACUCUUUACCAUACACACACACAAAACCAUAAAAAGUUAGCAUAUGAUAUUCUUAACAUUGUUUUUCUCAAUUUCCUACCAGGCUCAGUCCAGUUCAAGAUGCUGGCAAACAGGGCUGGUGCUUGAAAGCUUUUCGAGAAGAUAAGGUGUAUUUGAACAUGUGACGAUUGAAAUAUACAGAGUACAGGUUUUUGCUUACUGUCCCUUUCAUGGUGGUGGCAGGGGAGGACUUUUGAAAAGGUGCCGAAUAUCUGCAAGCACAUAUAGCUGCCCCACAGAGAAUUUCUGUAGAAUUCAAUUCCAUUUAAACUAUUUAAAAUCAUUUUUCUGCCAACCAGCCCCAGCCUGGUAGUAUUAGUAACUAGACUAGCUAUUCUAUCAAUACAGCUAUUUUAAGAAAACUGUCAGCUGCUUGAAUUACAAAGGUUAGUUCUAAAUCCCAUACUUUUGACUAUUCUAAAUAUUGUAUGUUUCAAAGUAUCCUUAUAAAAAUUUGGUUUUUUUGUGCUUACAGUUUUUCCUAUAAUAGAUUAUUUUGAUGAUUAAGUUUGACCCCUUUGACAGAUCAGUGGAUUCCUAAGGAUCAGGGAGGAGUUUGUUGCAUAGGGUUGGGGGCGGGUGUUGAAGAACUGCUCUACACUUUGAUUAUGGUGCUGAUUGCCUUUGUCAAAUUUUGGAGUGAGUUUUACUGAAUGUAAAUUCAACUUCAAUAAACAUGGCUUUAAAAACUUA
This is a long non-coding RNA of Mesoplodon densirostris (Blainville's beaked whale), 2546 nucleotides long. RefSeq lists it as uncharacterized. The transcript is spliced from 2 exons. The record is from RefSeq and is a predicted model, not a curated record. Lineage: Eukaryota; Metazoa; Chordata; Mammalia; Artiodactyla; Ziphiidae.